Molecule: ribosomal RNA, 118 nt
Filed under: Cletus punctiger
Lineage: Eukaryota; Metazoa; Arthropoda; Insecta; Hemiptera; Coreidae
Description: partial 16S ribosomal RNA
Source: RNAcentral
AAAGAUUUAAGAGUCGAACAGACUCAAAUUUUUUAGCUUCUGCACCAAAAAUUCACUUUAAUCCAACAUCGAGGUCGCAAACUUAAUUCAUCGAUAAGAACUCUCCGAAAAAAUUACG